Molecule: transfer RNA, 87 nt
Filed under: Bryobacterales bacterium
Lineage: Bacteria; Pseudomonadati; Acidobacteriota; Terriglobia; Bryobacterales
Also listed under: 1 other name
Description: tRNA-Leu
Rfam family: tRNA
About the family: Transfer RNA (tRNA) molecules are approximately 80 nucleotides in length. Their secondary structure includes four short double-helical elements and three loops (D, anti-codon, and T loops).
Source: RNAcentral
GCGGAUGUGGCGAAAUUGGCAGACGCGCCAGACUUAGGAUCUGGUCCCCGAAAGGGGGUGGAGGUUCAAGUCCUCUCAUCCGCACCA